GAUGAACGCUGGCGGCGUGCCUAAUACAUGCCAGUCGAGCGAACAGACGAGGAGCUUGCUCCUCUGACGUUAGCGGCGGACGGGUGAGUAACACGUGGAUAACCUACCUAUAAGACUGGGAUAACUUCGGGAAACCGGAGCUAAUACCGGAUAAUAUAUUGAACCGCAUGGUUCAAUAGUAAAAGACGGUUUUGCUGUCACUUAUAGAUGGAUCCGCGCCGCAUUAGCUAGUUGGUAAGGUAACGGCUUACCAAGGCAACGAUGCGUAGCCGACCUGAGAGGGUGAUCGGCCACACUGGAACUGAGACACGGUCCAGACUCCUACGGGAGGCAGCAGUAGGGAAUCUUCCGCAAUGGGCGAAAGCUUGACGGAGCAACGCCGCGUGAGUGAUGAAGGUCUUCGGAUCGUAAAACUCUGUUAUUAGGGAAGAACAAAUGUGUAAGUAACUAUGCACGUCUUGACGGUACCUAAUCAGAAAGCCACGGCUAACUACGUG
RNAcentral lists this ribosomal RNA (497 nucleotides) under uncultured bacterium. RNAcentral describes it as "partial 16S ribosomal RNA". It matches the Rfam family "Bacterial small subunit ribosomal RNA", at positions 28 to 507 of the family's 1533-position model. The record is from RNAcentral.